This 484-nucleotide ribosomal RNA is filed under the name uncultured bacterium. RNAcentral describes it as "partial 16S ribosomal RNA". It matches the Rfam family "Bacterial small subunit ribosomal RNA", at positions 28 to 523 of the family's 1533-position model. The record is from RNAcentral.
GACGAACGCUGGCGGCGUGCUUAACACAUGCAAGUCGAACGAUGAAGCUGGAGCUUGCUCCGGUGGAUUAGUGGCGAACGGGUGAGUAACACGUGAGCAAUCUGCCCUUGACUCUGGGAUAACUGCGGAAAACUGUAGCUAAUACCGGAUACUUUCACUGGAAGGCAUCUUCUGGUGAAGAAAGAAUUUCGGUCAAGGAUGAGCUCGCGGCCUAUCAGCUUGUUGGUGAGGUAACGGCUCACCAAGGCGACGACGGGUAGCCGGCCUGAGAGGGUGACCGGCCACACUGGGACUGAGACACGGCCCAGACUCCUACGGGAGGCAGCAGUGGGGAAUAUUGCACAACGGGCGCAAGCCUGAUGCAGCAACGCCGCGUGAGGGAUGAAGGCCUUCGGGUUGUAAACCUCUUUUAGCAGGGAAGAAGCGAAAGUGACGGUACCUGCAGAAUAAGCACCGGCUAACUACGUGCCAGCCGCCGCGGUAA